ACGAAGGGGGCUAGCGUUGCUCGGAAUUACUGGGCGUAAAGGGAGCGUAGGCGGAUAGUUUAGUCAGAGGUGAAAGCCCAGGGCUCAACCUUGGAAUUGCCUUUGAUACUGGCUAUCUUGAGUUUGGGAGAGGUGAGUGGAACUCCGAGUGUAGAGGUGAAAUUCGUAGAUAUUCGGAAGAACACCAGUGGCGAAGGCGACUCACUGGCCCAAUACUGACGCUGAGGCUCGAAAGCGUGGGGAGCAAACAGG
RNAcentral lists this ribosomal RNA (252 nucleotides) under uncultured bacterium. Its description in RNAcentral is "partial 16S ribosomal RNA". It matches the Rfam family "Bacterial small subunit ribosomal RNA", at positions 525 to 776 of the family's 1533-position model. The record is from RNAcentral.